CGUUUGCGGCGGGCUUAACACAUGCAAGUCGAACGAGAAUCCCUUCGGGGAGGAAAGUGGCGCACGGGUGCGUAACACGUGGAUAACCAACCAUUGGUUUGGGACAACACCGGGAAACUGGUGCUAAUACCAGAUGUGUCGCAGCUGUCUUCAGGCGGUUGCGAGAAAGGCCCGCAAGGGUCGCCAACGGACGGGUCCGCGUCCCAUCAGCUAGUUGGUGAGGUAAUGGCUCACCAAGGCAAAGACGGGUAGCUGGUCUGAGAGGAUGAUCAGCCACACUGGAACUGAGACACGGUCCAGACUCCUACGGGAGGCAGCAGGUGGGGAAUAUUGCGCAAUGGGACGAAAGCCUGACGCAGCCACGCCGCGUGAGCGAUGAAGGUCUUCGGAUACGUAAAGCUCUGUGGGGGGAGAAGAAGAAAAGCCGGUGAAGAGCCGGCCCUGACGGUAUCCCCUUAGCAAGCACCGGCUAACUCCGUG
RNAcentral lists this ribosomal RNA (480 nucleotides) under uncultured bacterium. RNAcentral describes it as "bacterial SSU rRNA". It matches the Rfam family "Bacterial small subunit ribosomal RNA", at positions 34 to 507 of the family's 1533-position model. The record is from RNAcentral.